GACGAACGCUGGCGGCGUGCUUAACACAUGCAAGUCGAACGGAAAGGCCCUGCUUGCAGGGUACUCGAGUGGCGAACGGGUGAGUAACACGUGGGUGAUCUGCCCUGCACUUCGGGAUAAGCCUGGGAAACUGUGUCUAAUACCGGAUAGGAGCCAUUUUUAGUGUGAUGGUUGGAAAGUUUUUUCGGUGUAGGAUGAGCUCGCGGCCUAUCAGCUUGUUGGUGGGGUAAUGGCCUACCAAGGCGGCGACGGGUAGCCGGCCUGAGAGGGUGGACGGCCACAUUGGGACUGAGAUACGGCCCAGACUCCUACGGGAGGCAGCAGUGGGGAAUAUUGCACAAUGGGCGCAAGCCUGAUGCAGCGACGCCGCGUGGGGGAUGACGGCCUUCGGGUUGUAAACUCCUUUCGCUAGGGACGAAGCUUUUUGUGACGGUACCUAGAUAAGAAGCACCGGCUAACUACGUG
RNAcentral lists this ribosomal RNA (465 nucleotides) under uncultured bacterium. RNAcentral describes it as "partial 16S ribosomal RNA". It matches the Rfam family "Bacterial small subunit ribosomal RNA", at positions 28 to 507 of the family's 1533-position model. The record is from RNAcentral.